RNAcentral lists this ribosomal RNA (402 nucleotides) under uncultured bacterium. Its description in RNAcentral is "bacterial SSU rRNA". It matches the Rfam family "Bacterial small subunit ribosomal RNA", at positions 355 to 774 of the family's 1533-position model. The record is from RNAcentral.
UCGGGAAUUUUGGGCAAUGGGCGAAAGCCUGACCCAGCAACGCCGCGUGAGGGAUGAAGUAUUUCGGUAUGUAAACCUCGAAAGAAUGGGAAGAAUAAAUGACGGUACCAUUUAUAAGCUCCGGCUAACUACGUGCCAGCAGCCGCGGUAAUACGUAGGGAGCAAGCGUUGUUCGGAUUUACUGGGCGUAAAGGGCGCGUAGGCGGCGCGGUAAGUCACUUGUGAAAUCUCUGAGCUUAACUCAGAACGGCCAAGUGAUACUGCUGUGCUAGAGUGCGGGAGAGGCAACCGGAAUUCUUGGUGUAGCGUUGAAAUGCGUAGAUAUCAAGAGGAACACCUGAGGCGAAGGCGGGUUGCUGGGCCGACACUGACGCUGAUGCGCGAAAGCCAGGGGAGCAAACG